This 303-nucleotide ribosomal RNA is filed under the name uncultured bacterium. RNAcentral describes it as "partial 16S ribosomal RNA". It matches the Rfam family "Bacterial small subunit ribosomal RNA", at positions 507 to 807 of the family's 1533-position model. The record is from RNAcentral.
AGCAGUAGCCGCGGUAAUACGUAGGGUGCGAGCGUUAAUCGGAAUUACUGGGCGUAAAGCGUGCGCAGGCGGUUUUGUAAGACAGGCGUGAAAUCCCCGGGCUCAACCUGGGAAUGGCGCUUGUGACUGCAAAGCUAGAGUGCGGCAGAGGGGGAUGGAAUUCCGCGUGUAGCAGUGAAAUGCGUAGAUAUGCAGAGGAACACCGAUGGCGAAGGCAAUCCCCUGGGCCUGCACUGACGCUCAUGCACGAAAGCGUGGGGAGCAAACAGGAUUAGAGACCCCUGUAGUCCCUGUCUCUUAUAC